AGCGUGAAUUUCCCUUCGAUUAUCAAAAGCCUUGACUCCCGCAAAGUAUGCACUUUUCCCUACCUUCCUUGCUCUCUAAAUCAUCGACCACAGACGAUUCCGAGCUUAUUUGUCAAAUGCUGUCAGAUCAUCCUUGAACUUCAGGUUGUUCUUCUUUAAAUAGUCAUUUUUCUUUGCACUUUUCCAUGUCAUAUCCCUCGCAGUCCUGGAGAUGAAUCUCGUGAUCACUGGUCGUUUUCCCCAUCUCUCAGCCUACCCAGGCGGUGCACUACAUCCAGAGAACCUGCAACAACAUUAUUGCCCUGCAAAUGUCCUUCACUCUUGCUUUCAAUGUCCUUGUCAGAUUUUUCUGCAAUUCCAUAAAUUCAAAGAUUCCAUCUCCGACUAUCCGGUCAUUCUCGUUUACCUUUGACUCAAUUUCAGUGAGCUUCUUCUCCUGCUUUGCAACCUGAAAUUUCAAUGUUGCGUUCUGCUGCUUCCGAGUUUUUACUUCCUCAGCAUUGAAAUCAAUCGAAAAGUGUUAUUUUUCACCAAAUUCAUGUCAUCUGCGCUCUCUUUGAUUUUACGCUUCGAACACACCGGUGCGUCACUGCUGCACAACAUUUUGCGCAGCUAGGCAACUAUACUGACGUAGGUACCUUUUGCAAAUGGUCGCAUGCGGUUGGACACAUGGAGGAGAGAAUCAUUUUCGCAGUAUCCUCAAAACCGUGUGCUUUUGACACAACUUCUGAUAGCUACAGGGACAUAAACACAAAAAAAUGCUGCUUGGAGACAAGUGUCCACGAUAGUAGGAUUGCCAGAAGAAGAAUGUAGGAGGAAGUGGAGAGGACUCAGGGACAGGUAUCAGAGGGAGAGAAGUGCAGAGAAA
Oncorhynchus tshawytscha (Chinook salmon) is the source of this 868-nucleotide long non-coding RNA. RefSeq lists it as uncharacterized. The record is from RefSeq and is a predicted model, not a curated record. Lineage: Eukaryota; Metazoa; Chordata; Actinopteri; Salmoniformes; Salmonidae. The transcript is spliced from 2 exons.